Herpailurus yagouaroundi (jaguarundi) is the source of this 1551-nucleotide long non-coding RNA. RefSeq lists it as uncharacterized. The transcript has 3 exons. NCBI's taxonomy places the organism in Eukaryota, Metazoa, Chordata, Mammalia, Carnivora, Felidae. The record is from RefSeq and is a predicted model, not a curated record.
UGUGGUCCGAGUUUCUUUUUUAAAGUUAACAGUCUUCACAGAAGCUGGGGUUGGGUUGAAGUCAGGAAUAACAUGGUCCGCUGUUGUUUGUAGGAUGGGAAUGACUGAAGGCCAAGGCUGACUUUCCAAGGAAUUAUCCAGAGAAUGGAGGAAGAAGAAGCAGACCUUAAAACUCUCAAGAAGGAUUUUGUAUUUUUUAGUUGAUUUCCGGAGAAUUGAACUCUGGCUUAAUUUGAGAAAGUAUCUCGAAAAUUCUUCAUACUAGAGCAAAAGUUACCCAAGUAUAAUCCAAUUAAGACACACACACACACACACACACACACCCCAGUACUAGUGAUAACAUGCAAACAUCGUUUGGUUUUGAUAGAAACAGAAAACAAGCUUUUGGUUCUCAAAAUGCUUUCCUGGGGCGUAGGGAAGGAAAUAUAACCACUAUACUAAGUGUAUGGAACCAGGCGAGGAGAUGGUCAUGAUUUCUUCCUCUGAUAAGAAUGAUACUUUACACCAUCACAUGCCAACAAACUGGGAAAAAAAAAUUCCUACAGUGGUAUGUUCAGUGUUACAGGAGAAUUGAAAACGAUCAGUGUCAAACAGAGAGACCGUGGGCAUCACUGACAGUGCACAUCAUAGUGGGUAAGAGCAAACCAGAGACAGAUGGCUUGAGUCAGAAUCUGGGCUUUGUCUCUUCUGGCUGGCUGACUUCAUGCAAGAUACACAAGCUCUUUCUGCCUCAGUUUCCUCAUCUACAAAAGGGGGAUGAUAACAGUAGUCCUAGUGCCUGGGCUCGUCGCCAGGAUUCAAGAAGGAGUAUAUGUGAAGCUCUUAGACGACCCCCUCCUAGUCAAGUAAUCUUUGAAACCAAAGUACGCGAACCAAAGAGCAUGGAAUCAAAAGGUUCCUGAAGCUCUGAGAUGGGAAUGAGAACCGAAGAAGCCAUAUGAUAAGAUGCCGUGAUCAGAAAUAAAAUGAGACAUGUUUUGACACUUAAUGACAUCCUAAAAGAUUGGGCGGCAGAAGAUGUACACGUGUGUCUGCAGUAAAUGUGGACAAUGCUUACUGUGGCUUUCAAGGCUGGAGAAAGCACACCCGAGGGGGUCGUGUCCCACACUAGGCAGAUCUAAUGGUGCCACAAAAGACAGGUGUUUUGUCAGAUUUCAGCCACACACUUUCACACCUGCAACGCAUUAAGUACAGCAGCAAUGUUAAUGAAGACCAGGUGCCUGUUCCCCAACUUAAAUGAGAAACUGGCGUGAGGUUUGCUGUUCGCUACCUGACGUCUUCCUCCGUGUCUCUGAACACCGGCCCUCCAGUUGACUGGGAAAAUGAACUGGGUACGGCGGUUAUCCUCGCUGCCUGAGUCGCCUGUUGGUUCUCACCCUCCGAGAGUGGGGAAGACUCUUCCAGCCCCAAGUGUUUCUGGGUUUCUCUGCGGCUACCCCUUUUGUGCAGAGCUCCGCCUCCGGGAGUCCCGAAAAGAGCCUGAGCUGCACGAUCGGCAAAAUGGGUUUCUGGAAAGUGCUGUGUUAUCAGCUGCUACCAGGGAAAGUUUGA